GCUUCUAACUUCCCUUGGCUGCUCUUCCUGUGAACUCAGCUGUGUCAGCUUAAAAUGUGGCUUAUGAAAGGCCCUGGUAAAAACUAUGCAAUAGGGAGCAGCUUGGACAGGUGUAGGAACAUGUUAAAUCUGACUUGAGCCCAGUGCUGGCUCCUUGCCUCGGUGGGAGCACUGGCAGACGUCUGAGCUGACACUUGAUUGCAGUUGGGACCAGCUAAGUAUUUGCACAUUAAGAAUGAGGAAGGUUGUUGGACUGACUGGCAGUAGCUACGGAAGCCUCCAUAAGACAUCCCUAUCUGACCACGUGCCAUAUUUCUUUUAGAAAGACACAGGUAUUUCUUCUCCUGGGCACUGUGGCUCAGGUCCAUAGUGUCAGAACACAAUUCAUGUAAAAUGAGGUGGAGAGCUUAGACUAAUGAGGAAAGAUGAGCUACUCAGAAGAACAGAUCAACAAGCUAGUGCACCUGUGUAAUAUGAAUGUGCACAAAUCCCAAGCCAUGAUAUACUGCCUUCCUGAGGUGCUGGGUUGUAGAGCACAAAUUUUCUGCUUUGUGGUCUUGCUGCAUGGAUGAUGAGGUGGCUGAUGCUCUGAUACAAACAGCUAAGUAGAGUGUUGCUAAGGCAUUUGCAAAAUAGGGUGUCUUGUGUACUUUUUGUAAGAGAUGCUUUGCUUUUGCAAGCUGCAUCCAUAGUCUCAGUGUUCUCACCUUCCUCCUGGAGAGCCAGUCACAGGCUUAGGUUUUGCAGAUUUCUUGUCUCUUCUCUGCCACAAAAAAAAAACCUACAACACUUUGACUGGAAAAUCCCCCAUCUGAUACACAGCGUGUCAACAGGUACAAGCAGUACCAAUUACUGCUUGAAAACUCUGCUGAAGACAAUAUUUUUCUCUGCCCGAGGUUUACUCCUGUCUGUGCUCCCAUCUUCAGAGGAUGAACUGGAAGCGGUUUGCCAUGGCUGCAAGAAGCAGGAGGGUGCAUGAAGUCUGAAGUGCAUGAGAUGUUACGGCUUUAUUUUCUUGGUAGAUGGAAAGAAGCCUGGAUCUGACCCUGCAAAUUCUUCAUGUGGAGAUGGAAAUAGGGCCCGUUCUGCUCCUCUCCAGAGAAGUGGAGAGGAAGCAGUGGUUGCCAUGGAGCCUUCUUGCCCUCUGCUGUUGGGUAUUUCUGUGCUGUUGUGUGCAUAUACCUGCUGCACAGCAAGCUGCCCUCAAGGAAACAGCACUAACCGUCCCCAUUCACGGGCCGUGCAGCAGUUCAUCCGAUUUGAUUCCGACUAGGCAGUUACAGAGCAGCACAGCUGACAUCUAUUUAAUAAAAACGAGGCUUUCAGUUCAGU
This is a non-coding RNA of Meleagris gallopavo (turkey), 1332 nucleotides long. The record is from RefSeq and is a predicted model, not a curated record. NCBI's taxonomy places the organism in Eukaryota, Metazoa, Chordata, Aves, Galliformes, Phasianidae.